UCGGACGUAGUGCAUGGCGCACAUCCGCUGUCUAUGAAGCUGUCACGCAGGAGACUUCGAGGCGCGAGUCCUGGGUUCGACUCCCAGCGUCCGAA
Mycena latifolia is the source of this 95-nucleotide non-coding RNA. Lineage: Eukaryota; Fungi; Basidiomycota; Agaricomycetes; Agaricales; Mycenaceae. The record is from the annotation of a GenBank genome assembly.